RNAcentral lists this ribosomal RNA (356 nucleotides) under uncultured crenarchaeote. RNAcentral's name for it is "partial 16S ribosomal RNA". It matches the Rfam family "Archaeal small subunit ribosomal RNA", at positions 330 to 688 of the family's 1478-position model. The record is from RNAcentral. Lineage: Archaea; Thermoproteati; Thermoproteota.
GCGCACCAGUCGCGAAAACUCCGCAAUACGCGAAAGCGUGACGGGGCCACCCCGAGUGCCGUCCGCUGAGGAUGGCUUUUCCCCAGUGUAGAUAGCUGGGGGAAUAGGGAGAGGGCAAGUCUGGUGUCAGCCGCCGCGGUAAUACCAGCUCUUCGAGUGGUAGGGAUGUUUAUUGGGCCUGAAGCAUCCGUAGCCGGCUGGACAAGUCCUCCGUUAAAUCCAACGAUUCAAUCGUUGGAUUGCGGGGGAUACUGUUCGGCUAGGGGGUGAGAGAGGCCGACGGUAUUCCCGGAGUAGGGGUGAAAUCCUAUAAUCCCGGGAGGAACACCAGUGGCGAAGGCUGUUGGCUAGAACGC